AUUUAAUCUAGGAAAAAGUUGAUUGCCUUGAGCAAAAUGGCAACAUUUUGACAGAAAACACAAGUGAAGAAGGUUUUUUAAUCUAGCCAAUCAUUUUUCAAAAA
Molecule: non-coding RNA, 104 nt
Organism: Caenorhabditis elegans
Lineage: Eukaryota; Metazoa; Nematoda; Chromadorea; Rhabditida; Rhabditidae
Source: Ensembl